RNAcentral lists this ribosomal RNA (1446 nucleotides) under uncultured organism. Its description in RNAcentral is "SSU rRNA". It matches the Rfam family "Bacterial small subunit ribosomal RNA". The record is from RNAcentral.
CUACAGGCUUAACACAUGCAAGUCGAGGGGCAGCAUGGUCUUAGCUUGCUAAGGCCGAUGGCGACCGGCGCACGGGUGAGUAACACGUAUCCAACCUGCCGUCUACUCUUGGACAGCCUUCUGAAAGGAAGAUUAAUACAAGAUGGCAUCAUGAGUCCGCAUGUUCACAUGAUUAAAGGUAUUCCGGUAGACGAUGGGGAUGCGUUCCAUUAGAUAGUAGGCGGGGUAACGGCCCACCUAGUCUUCGAUGGAUAGGGGUUCUGAGAGGAAGGUCCCCCACAUUGGAACUGAGACACGGUCCAAACUCCUACGGGAGGCAGCAGUGAGGAAUAUUGGUCAAUGGGCGAGAGCCUGAACCAGCCAAGUAGCGUGAAGGAUGACUGCCCUAUGGGUUGUAAACUUCUUUUAUAAAGGAAUAAAGUCGGGUAUGGAUACCCGUUUGCAUGUACUUUAUGAAUAAGGAUCGGCUAACUCCGUGCCAGCAGCCGCGGUAAUACGGAGGAUCCGAGCGUUAUCCGGAUUUAUUGGGUUUAAAGGGAGCGUAGAUGGAUGUUUAAGUCAGUUGUGAAAGUUUGCGGCUCAACCGUAAAAUUGCAGUUGAUACUGGAUAUCUUGAGUGCAGUUGAGGCAGGCGGAAUUCGUGGUGUAGCGGUGAAAUGCUUAGAUAUCACGAAGAACUCCGAUUGCGAAGGCAGCCUGCUAAGCUGCAACUGACAUUGAGGCUCGAAAGUGUGGGUAUCAAACAGGAUUAGAUACCCUGGUAGUCCACACGGUAAACGAUGAAUACUCGCUGUUUGCGAUAUACUGCAAGCGGCCAAGCGGAAGCGUUAAGUAUUCCACCUGGGGAGUACGCCGGCAACGGUGAAACUCAAAGGAAUUGACGGGGGCCCGCACAAGCGGAGGAACAUGUGGUUUAAUUCGAUGAUACGCGAGGAACCUUACCCGGGCUUAAAUUGCAGAUGAAUUACGGUGAAAGCCGUAAGCCGCAAGGCAUCUGUGAAGGUGCUGCAUGGUUGUCGUCAGCUCGUGCCGUGAGGUGUCGGCUUAAGUGCCAUAACGAGCGCAACCCUUGUUGUCAGUUACUAACAGGUUCCGCUGAGGACUCUGACAAGACUGCCAUCGUAAGAUGUGAGGAAGGUGGGGAUGACGUCAAAUCAGCACGGCCCUUACGUCCGGGGCUACACACGUGUUACAAUGGGGGGUACAGAGGGUCGCUACCACGCGAGUGGAUGCCAAUCCCCAAAACCUCUCUCAGUUCGGACUGGAGUCUGCAACCCGACUCCACGAAGCUGGAUUCGCUAGUAAUCGCGCAUCAGCCACGGCGCGGUGAAUACGUUCCCGGGCCUUGUACACACCGCCCGUCAAGCCAUGGGAGCCGGGGGUACCUGAAGUGCGUAACCGCGAGGAGCGCCCUAGGGUAAAACUGGUGACUGGGGCUAAGUCGUA